RNAcentral lists this ribosomal RNA (935 nucleotides) under Planomicrobium sp. Its description in RNAcentral is "bacterial SSU rRNA". It matches the Rfam family "Bacterial small subunit ribosomal RNA", at positions 60 to 984 of the family's 1533-position model. Lineage: Bacteria; Bacillati; Bacillota; Bacilli; Caryophanales; Caryophanaceae. The record is from RNAcentral.
UUCCGGAGCGGAACCUUUGGAGCUUGCUCCAUUGGUUUAGCGGCGGACGGGUGAGUAACACGUGGGCAACCUGCCCUGCAAAUCGGGAUAACUCCGGGAAACCGGUGCUAAUACCGAAUAUUUUUUUGCCCCUCCGGGGGCGAAACGGAAAGACGGUUUCGGCUGUCACUGCAGGAGGGGCCCGCGGCGCAUUAGCUAGUUGGGGGGGUAAUGGCCCACCAGGGCGACAAUGCGUACCCAACCUGAGAGGGUGAUCGGCCACACUGGGACUGAAACACGGCCCAAACUCCUACGGGAGGCAGCAGUAGGGAAUCUUCCGCAAUGGACGCAAGUCUGACGGAGCAACGCCGCGUGAGUGACGAAGGUUUUCGGAUCGUAAAACUCUGUUGUGAGGGAAAAACAAGUACCAACUAACUACGGGUACCUUGACGGUACCUCACCAAAAAGCCACGGCUAACUACGUGCCAGCACCCGCGGUAAUACGUAGGUGGCAAGCGUUGUCCGGAAUUAUUGGGCGUAAAGCGCGCGCAGGCGGUCCCUUAAGUCUGAUGUGAAAGCCCACGGCUCACCCGUGGAGGGUCAUUGGAAACUGGGGGACUUGAGUGCAGAAGAGGAAAGUGGAAUUCCACGUGUAGCGGUGAAAUGCGUAGAGAUGUGGAGGAACACCAGUGGCGAAGGCGACUUUCUGGUCUGUAACUGACGCUGAGGCGCGAAAGCGUGGGGAGCAAACAGGAUUAUAUACCCUGGUAGUCCACGCCGUAACGAUGAGUGCUAUGUGUUAGGGGGUUUCCGCCCCUUAGUGCUGCAGCUACCGCAUUACGCACUCCGCCUGGGGAGUACGGCCGCAGGGCUGAAACUCAAGGAAUUGACGGGGGGCGCGCACAGCGGUGGAGCAUGUGGUUUAUUUCGAAGCACGCGAGACAUACCAGUCUUGA